UUUCUGUAUUCGUGUGGAUGCUGUCCGCGCGAUUCCCAGCACUCCUCUUACAGCAUCUCACCUCAGUGUAUGUUCCUUGCCUCCAGUGCAGUUGAACCUCAGUCCUUCCUCUCCUCAUGUGUGCAUUCACCUUUCUUGGUGCUCUCUCCCCAUGGGCCAAGUUCUACCAUGAGUUAUGAAACAUUAUAGAGAAAAUAUGUCUUUGGAAAUGUGAGCCAGAAAGCCCACCGGUGCCCCUCAGUCACGGUUGUUAUGAAUGACAUGCUAAUGAUUUCACUCUGGUCAAACCUGCUUUCUCUUUCCUCUUCAGCCAACAGACCUCAGGAAAGAGGGGAUGAACUUGCAGACUCUGCGCUUGAAAUCUUCAAACAAGCAUCAGCGUUUUCCAGGGCUUCCCAGAGGUCUGUGCGACUAGCCCCUGUCUAUCAGAAGUUAUUAGAGAGGAUGAAGCAUUAGCAUGAAGGACUACAGGAGGGAUGCACCACGGCAGCUCCCCGCCAAUUUCUCUCAGAUUUCCACAGAGACUGUUUGAAUGUUUUGAAAACCAAGUAUCACACUUCAAUGUACAUGGGCCGCACCAUAAUGAGAUGUGAGCCUUGUACAGGUGGGGGAGGAGGGAGAGAGAUGUACUUUUUAAAUCGUGUUCCCCCUAAACAUGGCUGUUAACCCACUGCAUGCAGAAACUUGGAUGUCACUGCCUGACAUUCGCUUCCAGGGAGGACCUAUCCCAAAUGUGGAAUUGACUGCCUAUGCCAAGUCCCUGGAAAAGGAGCUUCAGUAUUGUGGGGCUCAUAAAACAUGAAUCAAGCAAUCCAGCCUCAUGGGAAGUCCUGGCACAAUUUUUGUAAAGCCCUUGCACAGCUGGAGAAAUGGCAUCAUUAUAAGCUAUGAGUUGAACUGUUCUGUCAAAUGUGUCUCGCAUCUACACAUGGCUUGGAGGCUUUUAUGGGGCCCUGUCCAGGUAGAAAAGAAAUGGUAUGUAGAGCAUGUAGAGCUCAGAUUUCCCUAUUGUGACGAGCCAUGGUGUGUUUGUAAUAAUAA
Molecule: small RNA, 1041 nt
Filed under: Pongo abelii (Sumatran orangutan)
Lineage: Eukaryota; Metazoa; Chordata; Mammalia; Primates; Hominidae
Description: retained intron
Source: RNAcentral